Long non-coding RNA from Portunus trituberculatus (swimming crab), 349 nucleotides. RefSeq lists it as uncharacterized. The transcript has 2 exons. Lineage: Eukaryota; Metazoa; Arthropoda; Malacostraca; Decapoda; Portunidae. The record is from RefSeq and is a predicted model, not a curated record.
GAAGCAGAGCUCGAAGGAUCCUGAAGAACAGCCAGGACGUUAGGAUUGUAGUCACCGUCGUCGUCACAACCAGCACCGCCCACACGUCCGCAUUGUACAGCUGGUACCUGGAUGUAAACACAACACUUCUGCUAGGGAGGAUGACCCACGAACUGAGACGAACCAAGGCAUGUGCCCAGCUGGAGAACGAAGGUGGCUUGCUCCUUGGUGUCUGAGGACAUAUUCCACCCAGUACGUGGCCCAGUCUCCUGGUGACAUUGGCUGGUCUCGCAUCAACCUGGACCGCUGCUGUACCUCCUCCAGUAUUCUGUGUGGCCCCAACACGGCAGGAAUAAAAGUACAGCUUCAC